This 1331-nucleotide ribosomal RNA is filed under the name uncultured bacterium. Its description in RNAcentral is "bacterial SSU rRNA". It matches the Rfam family "Bacterial small subunit ribosomal RNA", at positions 28 to 1381 of the family's 1533-position model. The record is from RNAcentral.
GACGAACGCUGGCGGCGUGCUUAACACAUGCGAGUCGAACGGACCCUUUGGGGUUAGUGGCGAACGGGUGAGGUAACACGUGGGUGAUCUGGCCUGCACUUUGGGAUAAGCCUGGGAAACUGGGUCUAAUACCAGAUAGGACUACGCACUGCAUGGUGUGUGGUGGAGAGCUUUUGCGGUGUGGGAUGGGCCCGCGGCCUAUCAGCUUGUGGGUGGGGUGAUGGCCUACCAGGGCGACGACGGGUAGCCGGCCUGAGAGGGUGACCGGCCACACUGGGACUGAGAUACGGCCCAGACUCCUACGGGAGGCAGCAGUGGGGAAUAUUGCACAAUGGGCGCAAGCCUGAUGCAGCGACGCCGCGUGAGGGAUGACGGCCUUCGGGUUGUAAACCUCUUUCGCCAGGGACGAAGCGCAAGUGACGGUACCUGGAGAAGAAGGACCGGCCAACUACGUGCCAGCAGCCGCGGUAAUACGUAGGGUCCGAGCGUUGUCCGGAAUUACUGGGCGUAAAGAGCUCGUAGGUGGUUUGUCGCGUUGUUCGUGAAAACUCACAGCUUAACUGUGGGCGUGCGGGCGAUACGGGCAGACUGGAGUACUGCAGGGGAGACUGGAAUUCCUGGUGUAGCGGUGGAAUGCGCAGAUAUCAGGAGGAACACCGGUGGCGAAGGCGGGUCUCUGGGCAGUAACUGACGCUGAGGAGCGAAAGCGUGGGGAGCGAACAGGAUUAGAUACCCUGGUAGUCCACGCCGUAAACGGUGGGUACUAGGUGUGGGUUUCCUUCCUUGGGAUCCGUGCCGUAGCUAACGCAUUAAGUACCCCGCCUGGGGAGUACGGCCGCAAGGCUAAAACUCAAAGGAAUUGACGGGGGCCCGCACAAGCGGCGGAGCAUGUGGAUUAAUUCGAUGCAACGCGAAGAACCUUACCUGGGUUUGACAUGCACAGGACGCCGGCAGAGAUGUCGGUUCCCUUGUGGCCUGUGUGCAGGUGGUGCAUGGCUGUCGUCAGCUCGUGUCGUGAGAUGUUGGGUUAAGUCCCGCAACGAGCGCAACCCUUGUCUCAUGUUGCCAGCACGUUAUGGUGGGGACUCGUGAGAGACUGCCGGGGUCAACUCGGAGGAAGGUGGGGAUGACGUCAAGUCAUCAUGCCCCUUAUGUCCAGGGCUUCACACAUGCUACAAUGGCCGGUACAAAGGGCUGCGAUGCCGUGAGGUGGAGCGAAUCCUUUCAAAGCCGGUCUCAGUUCGGAUCGGGGUCUGCAACUCGACCCCGUGAAGUCGGAGUCGCUAGUAAUCGCAGAUCAGCAACGCUGCGGUGAAUACGUUCCCGGGCCU